Molecule: ribosomal RNA, 504 nt
Filed under: uncultured Glomus
Lineage: Eukaryota; Fungi; Glomeromycota; Glomeromycetes; Glomerales; Glomeraceae
Description: SSU rRNA
Rfam family: Eukaryotic small subunit ribosomal RNA
Source: RNAcentral
AGCAGCCGCGGUAAUUCCAGCUCCAAUAGCGUAUAUUAAAGUUGUUGCAGUUAAAAAGCUCGUAGUUGAAUUUCGGGGUCAGCGGGCUGGUCGUGCCUAUGGUAUGCACUGGCCUCGCUGAUUCCUCCUUCUUGAAGAACUGCAAUGUCAUUAAUUUGGUGUUGCAGGGAAUCAGGACUGUUACUUUGAAAAAAUUAGAGUGUUUAAAGCAGGCGAUCGCUUGAAUACAUUAGCAUGGAAUAAUGAAAUAGGACGAUCGAUCCUAUUUUGUUGGUUUCUAGGAUUGACGUAAUGAUUAAUAGGGAUAGUUGGGGGCAUUAGUAUUCAAUUGUCAGAGGUGAAAUUCUUGGAUUUAUUGAAGACUAACUACUGCGAAAGCAUUUGCCAAGGAUGUUUUCAUUAAUCAAGAACGAAGUUAGGGGAUCGAAGACGAUCAGAUACCGUCGUAGUCUUAACCAUAAACUAUGCCGACUAGGGAUCGGAUGAUGUUAAUUUUUAAUGUAA